Molecule: long non-coding RNA, 15973 nt
Filed under: Coffea arabica (coffee)
Lineage: Eukaryota; Viridiplantae; Streptophyta; Magnoliopsida; Gentianales; Rubiaceae
Description: long non-coding RNA (CARA_LNC002811)
Source: RNAcentral
CAAAGAUUCAGGGAUAUAUGAUCUAUAUUAUGCAGAAUAAGUCAGCAAUAUGAAACCACCACCUGGUUAUUAGUUUUCUCCAAGCAAGUUGCAUUUGUCAACCGAUGACUAAUAUUCUGUAAGAAUAGAGCAAACCAGCAAAUUCCAAACAGCAGAUGCUAUGUUGUUUAGAUCUCAUCUCAUGUGGCUCAUUCACUUGAAAAUUAGCCAACUAAGUAGUAUGAGAUUUAGAUCUCUUCAUAUGGCAUGAAAUCCAAAAAAAAAAAGUUCAUACAUCCAUAUUGUAGUAGGCCAGACUUACCUAUCUCCUUAGCAGUUGAGAUAGCAUAACUAGAAGAUGCAUCUUUUGUGUGGUCUUUAGGAUCUGAAAAAGGUGUUGAACAAAGAACUGUUGAUCAAGUGGCUCUGGAGCAGGUUUCAUGAAUCUGCACCAAGAAAUGGUGGUAAUUCCAGCAGUGCUUGCUACUGUUGCUGAGGCAACACUCCAGAAUUCCUGAUGCGUCUUUGUUAGAAUUAUCUGCGCAAAUAUCACAUUAAGUUCAAUUGCAAUUCUAGAUAUAUCUUCAUAGAUUGAGCAUGCUGCAUUUAUGAAAUGCCCAAUUGCAUCUUUUCUUAGUUGCUGCACAUAUUGGGCAGACCUGGAAUGGAAUGGUCAAAAAAACCAUCAAAUUGCCACUGAGAAUUGAAAACCAAGAGAAUCAGCAUCCAAGAAAAAAUCAAUACUAUUAUUAAUAUAGAUGUAAUCCAUGCCUGGCUCCUGUUUAAUAAGGUACUUGUCGGUUUCUUUCGAAUUAUUGGUUUGUGGUCCCAUGCAUCAAUGAGUUUGUGUGGUUACACUUACACAAUACCGUAUCACUCGAGCUUUUUCUAAACAAAUCCAGUGGGGAAAAGAAACAUGCCGCUGUAUUUGGGCUUCCGUUGCUAUUCAUUCUAAUAAAUCAAUACUAUUAUUAAUAUAGUUGAGCUUAUUCUAGAGUCCAUAGGGUUUCUUUUGUUCCCUUUUAUUAUAGAUUAAAAUUAACAAGAAAACAUUCUGGGUUUGAAUGUUCUGUCUAUAAGAUUAUUUAGUGGGAAAAACAUUAUGGUUACAAUAUAUGAUGCAGUCUAGUAGUUGUUUCACUUGCAAACAACUUGGAUGGAAAUUUUUCUUUUUUUGCAUAAGAAAUCUAAGUGGUUAUGGGGAACUUGUUCUGUGAGCUAUUGCAUGUUGUGGCUCAAUGUUUUCCAAUAGUUUGGCUGCAUCCUCAAUCAUUUUGCGUCUAUUUAAUUCUCUUUUAUUCGACCAUAUGAGAUUAAAAUCAUAAGAUUGACAUGGGUAUUCUGGUUUAGCUCUUUACAUGUCAAUUUCGUGAUUAUUUUAGCACAAUUUUCAUUUAUAGUUAAGAUUAAGAAUUAUGGAUAAAUAUGGAUGCUUUAAUUAGCCCCGUCUCAACGCGAUUAUUUAAUUGGAUAAUAUAUGCAUUGAGGGUCAACUUUAAGGUUUUGGAUCUCUUUUUAUGCUAAACAUUGACAUAUUCUAUAUGAAUCCUUCUAAGAAUUUUAUGAACAAAAGUGCCAUUUAUCUGUUUUGCUCUUCUAUAUAUGAAUGAUAUGGAGAAGAGUUUAUGGACAUAAAAUUUUUGUCUCAGUUAAAUAAUUGAUGAAUUUUAAUGAAUGGAAUCACCAAAGUAACUUUUAUUAUAUUUAUUGAAUUAUUUAAUAAGGAUUCUGAGAUGUUCAUGUUUCAAAGUUCUGUGUUAGUUUUCAGCUUGAAUUUUUAUUAAAAGUUGAAAUUGCUUUUUGAUAUAUGAACCUUUGGUAGUAUUAUAAUUACUGAUUGUCUUCUUGGUUCAUCUACUUGUGAAGAAUAUGCCAUCUACCUGUGAAAUUGCGUUUUGAUAUAUGUGCAUCACUUUGUCUUCUUGGUAUUAUAAUUAAGAAGAUGUUGUUGUUGUCGUCGGAAACACGCAGAUCAUAUGUAAUUUGUUUGACGACCAAUACUAUAUAUAUGGUUCACUUCAAGGGAUGUUUUAUGAUUACUAUGUUUACACUGUUCCAUAUUUGGGAUGCAUCUUUCCUUUUCAGCGUCUAAAGCCUAUUAUUGGAUUGAAGGAAACUUGAAUUUAAGAUCGAAAUUGAAUUUUGUGCCAUAAAAAGUCAAUAAUUUUUUUUUUGGAGUGAAUUACUGUACUACAUCAUUCUUGUUAAUCAUAAGUUGGUGAGUUUUUCUCCUUCAAGGACUUUACUAUUGACAGGUAGCUCAUUCAAUUGAUUUAUCAAACAAACUGUUUUAGAUCUUUCAGGUGACUCUUGUCAACUCCACAAUCCAAAUGUAAUCACCUACCUUUUACAUUUAUGAACAAUGCUCAAAAGUCCCAUAUAGGUUAUAUACACUUGAAAAGACUAUACUCCCUCCGUCCCACUUUGAUAGUCCUGUAUUCCUUUUUCAUCUGUCCCAAAUUUAGGGGUGGCAAUUCGGGUCCAAAUCAGGUUGGCGGGUUGGGUCUGACCCGACCAGUCAGAAAAUCUGUUAACUCGAACCCGAUCCGCCAACCAGUGACGAGUCAGGUAUACUGACCCGAAUCUGAAAAUUUCAGGUUGACGGGUUGGCGGGUCGAUCCGAAAUGACCCGAAACUUAAUUUUAAUUUAUCACUGUAAUUUCUAAUAAAAUUAAUUUCUCACAAAACUAAUUACAUAAUCAAGUAAUAAAAAUUUAAAUAAAUAAUUCCAAACCAAAUCUAAAAUAAAUUAAACACCAUAAAAGUGUUUUAUCCCAAACAAAAUAUAAAAUAAAUUAAAACAGUAUAAAAGUGAAAAAUAAUAUAAUAUAUUAUUUGUCUAAAUAUAAUAAUUUCAACUUCACACAAAUUAAAUAAAUUCAUUUAGGAUUAAGUAAUUAAUACCUUUGAAAAAAAGAAUAACUUAGUUUAGUUAGAUUAAAUUAUUUUUAUGUUUAUUAAAUUAUUUUUAAUUCGUAAACGGGUCAUAUCGGGCCAUAUCAAGUCAUCACGGGUUGACCCGAAAUCGACCUGUUUUCUUUUCGAGUUCAUCGGGUUCAACCCGAUUCUGACCUGAAUUCCCGAAACCUCAACCCAAACCCAUUAAUUUCGUGUUAGGUUCGUAUCGUGUUUUCAGGUCGUGUCGAAAAUUGCCACCCCUACCCAAAUUGUAGUCCAUUUUCCAAUUAAAGAAUGUAGUUGUAUUUUAAUUUUCCUAAAAUACCCUUAUUCAAUGUAAGUAGUUGUUACUAUAAACCUAUCCCAUUUAAUAAGAGUUGAUUCUUUUUUUACCAUCAAUUGAAGUUCCCAUAAAGUUGUACCAUAUUUAAUAUGAUGGUAUUUUAGAAAAAUAGCAAUCUAAAUUUACUUUUCCAACAAAGUUAACUACUUUUUCUUAAACUGUGUGAAAAAAGAAACAGGACUAUCAAAGUGGGACAGAGGAAGUAAUUUAUAAUCGUAUAGUUGGGCACACCAACUUCCAUUUGCAUAAUUAAUGGUAAAGCAAUAAUGCACUGGAUGUACGAAUCCGAACCCAGGUAUGGUUUAAAUCGAGGCCUUCUAUCAUACAACAAAAAUUUAUACGUCCCACAUAUGGCAUCGAAAACAUUAUACAUAACAUGAUUUGAAUCUUAUAUCUUCUUUUUUAGAUCAAUCUUAUCUCUUAACCUUUCAGGGAUGGUCACAUUAGCAACCUUUCCUAUCCAAAUUCGACACACAAUUUCGUCAAAAUUUCAGGAAGAAAACAAUAACAAGGAGAAAAUGAAUAAAUGACUCGAGCAAAGCUACAUAGGUCUUUAACUAAAGCUGAAAUUUUGAUGCAGUAAAGAGCGAUCGAGCAUGGGGUUUUGUUUCCAAUUCUCUGUUGAAUGAAAGUUCUUGUUACUUGGGGAAUUUUGCAUGUUCAGUUAUUGGGUAGUACCGCUGAAUAAUAGGAUACUCAUGAACACGAAAUGGGCCGACCCAAAAUCUUAGUCUCAAGCUAUUUUAUGGCGUCAUUCUGAUUGAGACGCCAGUCUAGGAGAGCAUGGGGCCACAAAAAGUUGGGGAAAAAAAAAAAAGGUUUCUAGUGGGGCCCUGGGGAAGAUUUUGAUUUUUGAGUGCUCUCUGCUUGUGAACUGUGAACUGCUUGGGUGAGAAUUAUUUAAACGAGUAUUAGUUUUAUUUUUGUUUAAUAAUUGGAUUUAAAUACGGUACUUUUUUUUUUUUUUUUUUUUUUUCAAUGAUAGAAUUUAGACACAAGUUUAAUUCAGGACAGAAAUUUCCGGGACAUUGCGCUAUAAAGAUAGAUUGGCAACUUAACUAUCAAAGUUCUAAAGGACGUGUCAAAACAAACGGAGGGUCCCGCAUGCCGAUUCACCCCGUAACAAAGUUCCAAAGAAGUGUCAAAACAAACGGAGGAUGCCAAAACAAACGGAGGGUCCCGCAUGCCGAUUCACCCCGUAACAAAGUUCCAAAGUGUCAAAACAAACGGAGGGUCCCGCACUAUCUUAUAUCUGAACUUUAAAUACACAUCUUAUAUUUGCCUUAUACUUGACUAUUUACUAGGGGUGGGCACGGGUCGGGUACCCGCCCCUAACAUGAUUUGGCUGACCCGACCCUAAUAUAUCGGAUCAGCCAUUUUGCGACCCUAACCCGUUCCUAAUAUUUUCGGGUACUCGAAAAAAAGGGGCGGGUCAUAGGGUACCCGCCCCUAAAAAAAAACUAUUUUUCAAUAAAAAAAAUUUAUUUUCUACUUAAUAUCAACAUGUUUUUCAAUAAAAAACAUGCUUUUCCAAUUAAUAUUGGUAGAGAUAUUGUAAUUAAAGUCCAUACAUCACCAUUUUCACACAUUUUAUCCAAUAAUCAAAUCGAUCUCAUAAAUUUAGUACAUAUUAGAAUAUCUAAUGGACAAAACGAAGUUUCAUAAUAAUUUUGAGUACAUCACCAUUUUCACACAUUUCAUACUUCUACAACACAACAAACAUAAGGAUAAUAAGUAUUUGGUAACUUCUCCAAGGAUAUUAUGGUACAAGACCGCAUCUCAAAUAAGUCAAUUGUGAAAUCAAGUUCGGAAAAGAAUUGAAUAGAACUAAUUAUUUUUGAAAAAAAUAUAACCAAAAUAAUGUUAAAAAUCUUCCCCAACUUCUUUACAUCUUUGGAAUAGACCUUAUGGUAUUAAGGUGAUGAAAAAGAAAAAUAAAUUUCUUACACUAAAUAAAAGAGACAAAUUUAAGACAUAUAAUUGCAAAUGAAUGACACAAAUAUUUUAAUUAUCUAGCUAACAGAAAAUUGAGACUCCAAACAAAAAUCUUUGAUUGAAUUGAUGCAAGAUUUGCAGGAAAGAUCGAUGGAGGUAGAAUAAAAAUAAAAAAGAUGAAAGGGAUGAACAAUUUUUAUAACAAAGUUUCACAAAUUUUUUUUUUCAUUUUGUUCAUAUUUCACCGAGAAUAUUCACUUUCUUCAAAAAAAAAUGAGAAGAGUAGAUCAUAUAGGAUUAGAAUAUGAGGCUGCGAGCCACUUCACUUGCACUUAGGAUUAAAAAUUACAAAAUUAUAAAAUGAUCCCUACUUUUUUAAUAUUUAUAAAAUAUACCCUGCGGGUCGGGUACCCGCGGGUUUUUAUUUUUCUGAUCCGUAUCCGUACCCGAUUUUUCGGGUACCCGACCCUCAUCUGCCCCGCUAAGAAAAAUCGGAUCGGGUAUCCUAUUUUUCGGAUCGGAUCGGAUCGGGUUCAUCGGGUUUUCGGAUCGGCGGGUUUUUUUGCCCACCCCUACUAUUUACUAGAAAUUUAACAACAGCAUAAAUACUUUAAAUGUCAAUACAUAUUAUUAGCUUAGUUGAUAAAUACAAGUUGCUUCCUCGUACAGAAAUCGCGUGUCUAAGGGCCUCAAGCGAUGCUUUAAUGGUAUAGUAUAAGAUAGUUUGAACAACCAAACAUGGAAUAGCACCAAAUAAAGUAUAAGAUAGUUUAUGCUCAGCACGCCAUUGAUUCCUUAGACUACAAAGACCAGUAACUUCCCAAUGUACCCAGCAAUUGGGCUAGUUUUUUGUGGAUUUUCACUUAAAUGAAUUAUAUUUAAUCCGCUCAACUUUAGAUUGGAUUGAUUUUAGAUUAGGUCAUAUUGAGUCAUCUCAAAUCCAUAAUCAAAACAUUGUCCAACAUAUUAAUUAAUACAUUGUGAUGUUUUAUAAACUUUCUCUUGUACAUUUACACAUACAAAAAGAUUUUAUUCACACAUAUAAAUAUAUUUUCACAUACAUAAAUAUAUUUUCACACACUCACUACCUAAGUUCUUUGGAAACACAUCAUAAAUAGAAUAAUAUUUUAUAUUGCCUGUAUUGCAAAAUUUGAAUAAUAAAUUGUAUAUUGAAAUAAAUUAGCUAAAAAAAUUUGUUUACCAUAUGCCUUGUAACACUACUAAUUGCUAGAAACUUAUUUUUUGUUUACCUUAUACUCGUCUUCGAUCUCCAGGUCAUUGUCAGGUGAAAGUGGCGUUCGCAUGGGUCCCGCGUAUUGUCAGAAGAUUAGCUUAAGUAGUAAUGGGUGGACUUAGAAUGGAGGGGUUCCAAAAUUGUGUCAAUUCACUUGAUAAUUCCUUAAAAAAAAAAAAAAAAUCACUUGAUAAUGCCCCGGUGAAAAAAAGUGAUAACAAAGAAGGGACUAAAUUCCUUUGAAAAAAAGGUCACUUGAUAAUGACCGAUGACGAGACUACAUCCGAGAUUUCCAUCCGAGAUUUCUCGCUUAUUUUAAAACAAAAAAUUAAAAAAGGUGCCAGACCAUCGCACCUGUUCGUAUACCUAUGUUGUAAAGAAAGAAUGCUUUGUAUACCUGAGUAACAAAAAAGAUAAUGACCCGGUGAAAGGAUGGUCAGGCAGAGCACAUACCUAGCUAGGACUUUAACUACGUAUGACGUAUCUUGUACUUGACCUAAUACUAGAACUUUAACAACAGCAUAAAUACUUUAAAAUGCCAAAUGCCAACACACAUUAGUUUGGUUGAUCAUAAGUAUAGGUGACUUCCUCGUAGCUAGAGAAAUCGUGUGUCUAAUGGUCUCAGGGGUAAAUGUUCUAGUGACAGUCAUUAGAGGCGAAAAUACCCUAAAACAAAAAACUUUAAAUAGUCAAACAUGAAAUAGCACCAAAUACUACUGUAUGAGAUAUUUUAUGCUGAGCAUGAUGCAAUUGGUUCCAUAGAUAACAAGGACCAGUAACUUCCCGACAUGAUUAAUUUAAAUGAAUUGUAAAGCCAAACUAAAAAUUCAUUUUUUUGAUGCUUUCUUCAUUUUUUUUUAAUUGUAGUCAAACCUCACGACUAAACCAAAGCAGUGCAUUAUGAUAUUUAUGUGUACAUAGAGCAAGGUACAACUAGGGGUGGAGCUGAUUCAAGUUACUCGACUCGAGCUCGAUAUGUACUCGAUCAGAAGCUCGAACUGCUCGUUAGAGCUAUCGAGUCGAGCUCGAGCUCAGAAAUUUGAUAUUCGAGAGCUCGACGAGCUCUAUCGAGUAUCACAUAAAAAAUUUUAAAAAAAAAUUAUAUAUAAAAUUACUAAUAUAGGUAAAUAAAUUCUGAGAAAUUACCGGUGAGUACCCUUAUCGAGUCGAGCUCGAGCUUUUUAAGGAUUUGAUCGAGCUCGAGCUCGAGCUGUGAUUCUCCGACUCGAUCGAGCUCGAGCUCGAGUAUAAUUAUAUUAUAGCCGAGUAGAGCUCGAGUAUAGCGGUACUCGAGCUCGACUCGGCUCGAAUACACCCCUAGGUACAACCUGACUUGGGUUCAAACUUUUUUUCUCUUACCUAUAUUUUUGGGAGUUCACUUAUAUAUAGAAAAUGACUUUGAAAAUGACGGUAACCAUGAGCUAAUUUGUAUUUGUUAUACAAGUCGUAUGCCGUUUAGAAUAAAAUUUUCUUAUUUUUAUAUCCAAUGGAUUAUAUUUGAACACUAUUAUAUACUAUCAAAAUAGAGAUCUGAGAUUGUCUGCCUAAAACAGAAAGUAGUCUAAUAAAGUCUUUCUUUAAUUUACAAACUAAACAAAUCACGAUUACUUUGAGUUAAAUUUUUCAAGUCUAACAAAGAUUAUCUAACUUUUUGCGUUACUUGAGAAAAACAAUGUAAUGGAGUUUGCUUCUGUUGAUUCUUGAACAAGUCCUUCUCCAAAAACUAAAGAUAAGGCUCUGCUAAAAAGAAUAAAAAUAAAGAAGGUAAGGUCCUCAUGUUGAAAUGAGUGAAGAUGUGGACAAAGUACCGAUUUAAAGGCGGUUCUUCACUUGACAAUAAUAUAUACGCACACUAUCACAAUGACCUGGUGAAGAAAGUGGAGCUCCAGCUCAUUGUGAAGUGAAGCUGGUGCUUGCAUGGGUCCUGCGUAUUUUGGGAACAGGGGCGGAUUUAAAGUGGGGGCACUGGCCCUUAAAUUCCUAUAAUACAUCUACAAUUUUGACAUAAUUUUAAAGGUGCCUCCAUAAUUUUUUUUAGAAAAAAUAUGAAAGAAUGGGUCACAAAAUUUAUAUCAUUCACUUUCCUCCUCUAGUUCCCAUUUUUCCACCAAUAGGGCCAAGUACCAAUUAUAUCAGUCAUUCCUUUUUGUCUCCCCUCCCCAAGUUCCCUUUACUCCUGUGGUCCCCCAUUUCCCUUCAUAAUCGGCUCCUUUUCUUCCACACUCAAGCCAACUACCUUUUCUUUUUAUCACUUCAUCCAAUUAUCAUUUACUUCCUUUGUCCCCACUCCCCAAUUUCCCUUCUCUCAUCAAUUGAUCUUCUAGGACUUGGGUCCGCCACAUUUUGCAGCUCUUUUCACCAACUUUAGGAGACCAUCAAAAUCAGGUUCUAAACAAUUACUUAUUAUUAUUAUUAUUUUAAAUUUGAUUGCAAAUAUAUUUCUAGAGUAUGAGACUAUUACUGUUUUAAAGAAAUUUAAAAAUUGAUUAGUUAAUGUAAUGACUAAUCAAUGGGUUAUUUGAUAAAUAUUUUAACUUGUGAAAUGGUGAUUUUAUGCAUGAAACUUUUUUUUUUUUGCUUAAAAAAUUAGAAAAAGAGUAGAUAAAAAAUUUUAAUAUUAUUUUUGUCUCCACUAAAAUUUUUUUCUGGCUCCGCCCCUGUUUGGGAAGAUUAGCUAAGUAGUGCUGUGGUAGAAUAUUAGAAGGUUGGGUUUCCAAAAUUGGCAUUCACUUGAUAAUGACCUGGUGCAGAAAGUCAAGACGAUCCGCACUCAUACGAACACCGUCGUCCGCUUUCUUCACCAGUCAUUGUCAAGUAAAGGUGGUGUUCGCAUGGGUCCUGCGUAUUGUCAGAAGAUUAGCUAAAUAGUAAUGUGGUAGAAUUAGAAGAGCGGGGCUCCAAAAUUGGCAUUCACAUUCACAGGAGUGUUUUGUCAUUGGAUAUUCUAUAAUUUACAUGCAUGGCUGCCUGGCUACAUGUUUUGUUUUAUAGAUUGACACUUACAGUUACAGGUGCCUGAAGGCAAUUGGCAUGGCAUGGCAGUGGCGUGUAAUUUUUUCCAGUCCUAGUGUCUGUGGCGCCCACCGGGCCACCACCUUAUCCGGUUUUUUUUUUUUUGGGGUAAUAAUUACCCUUUCCCUGGCCCCUGGGGACGCACCUACAAGGUGAGAUUCUUAGUAUGUAAAUGCUUGUGCGACGAUAUAAAUAAAGGCCCAGCCCAACACAACCGAGGUGUCUAACCCAUUGAGAAUUUUUCUUACCGGAGAAUUACCCGUCCCAGAAAUGUUGGGAGAACUCAGGCUUGCAGCUAUCAACUUCUUCUUGACCUUGAAGAAUUUCGCUCAGGGUCAGGGCUUCCCCGCAUGGAAAUGGUGGGAGUCUCGAAACGGGGCCGCCCAACAGUCGCCAACCGUGCAACUCCAACUCCAACCUGGUGCAGCAUCUCAACUUGCGGAGCAGCCGUCCCUGCCUACCUUCCGGCAACCUAAUAAUGGCGCUGAUCAGAACCCCAACUUCGUUGACUAUGUGAUGAAGAUGCAAUGGGCGUUGCUGGUCAUCGGAGUUUGUAUUGCAGCCUUUAGCGCCGCCUUGCAAGCUCUCCAAACUCCUGCACCUCUCCCUCCAACCUUUCACUGGUUUUGCAUGCUUCUGCAGCUGGCCGUUCUUGCUUUGUUGGUCUCCGUUUACAUCCGCCGCCGUUACGAGACGGCAUCUCUUGUCAUGGCACAUGUUGCAAUUUUCUUGGGCGCCACUGCAUUCAUGCUGGCCAUUGGAGUGACUUUUGCGGCUCCGCUCACUGGGAUAUCCAUCGCACUCUACUUCGUUGCAAUCCUCGCAAUCAUCUUUGCUAAUCGUUGAAUCUCCUGCUCAGGUAUUUGUUUAUUAACUUUUUCUUUUUCUUUUUGGCAUUUUUCAGCAUAUUUGAACUUGUUUUUUUAUAUACAUAUCUACCUGGCUGAUAUGAUGACGUACUACUUUUUAUAUACAUAUUUUUCAGGACGUACUACUUUGUUAUUCUCUGAAAUGCUCGAACUUCUUCGCUGAUAUGAUGACGCCAAAAGUUAAGCUCAUGUUUUUUCGCUUUGUCUUUUCAUUUGUGUGUGUGUUUUACGAAAGCGUGUAAGUCAAGACAAGAUGUUGUCGGAAAUAUGCAAGUCACGUAGUUCAUUUGCCGACUAGUCCAGUAGCAUAAUUCACCUGAUCAAGGAUGUUUUAUGAUUUCCAUGUUCGUGAUGUUCCAUUCUUGGAAUGUGAACAUCAUGCUAUAAUUGGAAUUUCUGGUUAUAUAUAAGUGCAUCUUUUCCUGUUCUGAAGAGUGUGAAGCCUAUUAUUUAUUGGAUUGAUGGCACUGAAUUAUUUAUUUCACAAAAAAGGAGAAAAAGAAGAGAGCAGAAAAUUCGAGUGUCAAUAACUAGAUUUUCUGCAACUGAUGAUUGGUUUUAUUGCAGUGCAUGCAACGACAGAAGAAAGGAUGUGGACAAUAAAUUAGGAAAAACUAGAAUUGUUAACGAUGAUUCAACUUUUUUUUAUAAAAAAAAAAUAAGAAAAGAAAAGCCAUGAUUGACUUUAUUCUCUUGAAAAAAUAAAGAGAUCUCUUCAAGAAAACUCGAAUUCAACAUUGAAGUUGAAAUUCCACAAAUCUUGUGUAGGGCAAGAAUGCACUGGAUGUACAAAUCUGAACCCAGGUAUAAUUUAAAUCUAGGCCUUCUAUCAUAGAGCUUCUGAUGAAGUAAUUAAGCACAGGAAAGCACUGAUAUGCUAGCUUUUAUCCUUCUAAUAUCUCCUGUACAUUAGAGCUUCAAGAUAAUACAUAAUAGUUCAAUAGCAUGAAAGUGCCAUUAAUACCCUGUGAUAACCGAUGAUGCAGUGCUGCCAUAAUGCUUGCUCAAGAGUACAAGUAAGAAAGCAAAAUGGCUCCUCCUCGCAGAUAAAAGAAUACUGAUGCAUUAUCUGGUAUCAUGAUUGCUUAUAAGUCGAUUCAUUACAAACAUACAAUGCCAAUAUGUAACCAAGCCUAAUUGACUGACAUCAAGGCAAACUGUAGUAUCUUCCACCAUUAAGAGUAACCUGAUAUCCAAAUUGUGUUGUAUUACAUAGAGAACAGACCAGCCUAGAAAAUAGUUGACAUGAUGACUUCCUGAAAGAAAGCAGCUCGCUGCGUUCUCUCCUCAUAAUUUUGCUCCUGAACUGCAUCUGAAAAAGAUGGUCUGUCGCUGCAAGAAGAAAAUUGAUCAGAAUUUUGUCACCCUAUCUUGAAAGUCAAGGUCGCACACAAUGGAACUCUAAUCUUUCAGACGAGUAAAAUCUUUAAAUUGCACAUUCAUUCUUGAUUAACUUCAGACAUGACAGAUUGGAUUGAAGAAAAAUUUGCACUGACAUGACAUGCUCUGCCACCAGAGCAAACAACAAAAAAGUUACGAUAUUAUUAAAUCAACUGGCACGCAGACAUACAAUGCAAUGCCACCCCAAAAUGCAACACGCUGAUUACAAUGAAGUAGUAGUAACUACCGGGCUGCAAUUAAUUCGGCGGAGGUUGCCAGAAUGUAUCAUCUAUUCUGACGGUACCCACAUCCCCCGGCCGCCCCCUCUCUCUUCCAAGCCUACAAAAUGGGCGGAUGAUGUCGCAGGCAAGCAUCGAAUCCCCAUGUAUGUGUUUUUGAAUUGUCCUACCUUUUUUGAGUAACGAAUGAGUAAAAAAUUAUUUAUCAUUCAUUCAGACAUCCGAAUAGUGUAAAAGGAUUUCCAUACUAAUAGUUGUGUUGGAAAGAUAUAUCCGAAAAGUAAGCUAUCGAGUUAACACACUAAUUAAGAGGAUUACACCAAAACCCCUUGCAAGCUCCAAUUUAGCCCAGGAUGUUUUAGUCACCAAAACAACGUUGGUCGAAACCUAUAAAAGUUGUUCUAUGCAACUUUUCAUCUAAAUCAAGUAGGCUCAAAGGCAUUUAAACCAGACAAGAAAAUUGAAACUUAAUUAAAGCAUGCUGAAUUACCUUGUAAAACACUCGACCCAGCACGAUCUGAGGAUCCUUCAUCGUCUAUCUUUUCUUGUAGAAGUUUUGAUGUAACUAGAAUUUGGUGUUGAUCUUGGUUUGGAAAACAUGGAAGGGAGGCUCAUUUUAAUAUAUUCUUCCCCUCAAUUCCUUCCUCGACUUUCCCAUCAAGCAUCAAAACAGAACACCAACCAGUUUACAACUUUCCCUUCUCUAUCUUGCACCUGCAUAUAAUUCCUUUUCAUCUAAUCAAUUGAGAUAAGCAGUAACCUUCCCCUCAAUUCUGUGGUGAACGUACUCUGUAAUAUCCACUGGAAGUCAGACAAGAAACUCGAGCAUUAUUAACAAUCUGAGGAAUAUCGUAUGGCUUUUAGUGUUGGAAUUCGGAAGUUGCUCCACCUUAUCCCCAUUACGUCAAGAAUAAAAAGAACAGCGAAUUUAAUGAAAACAAGAAGUUACAGAGGACCAAAGAUUCAGGAAAUACUAUCUAGAAUUCUUCUUCUCAGAAGCAAUCACUUUGCUCUUGUUUUUAUUCGACUUUCCAUGCAAAACUACCCUCCAGCAACAUGUGAUAACUCACAUUUGAUCUACUGACAGGUGUUCAUUUAUGCAAGUAUAUUGUGGGCUUCAACUUACUAACAAGCUAAUUAAUGUUAUUACUUGUUAAUCAAAAAUUGGUCCCAGCAGUUCAAAUUUUUUCCAGCUUCAUCUGAGUUUUAGUAACAGCACUUUGGUUUCAAAUCAAGAAGUCUAGGAAGAGAUUUAUGUGGAGAUUUUAUGAUCAAAAUAAGACACUUCUAUAUGACAUUUACUCUUUGCUGUUUUCUCGAGCUGUUCCAUUUAGAUGCUCAUCAACUAUCAUAUCCUUUUUUUUUUUUUUUCAAACUUCUCCAAGCAAAAAAUUUAAAACAGAAGCUAGUAGAACUAGAGAGCAUCUAAAUUUCUAAACUACUAUGAGAUUAAAGAUCCUCAUAGCCAUUCUUGAAAACUAUGAAUGCAAGGGCUUAAGUUACUUAUCGAUCAAAAGAUUAUGCAUCUCCCUUUUGUCAAAAGAACUAAAUACUAAGUAUAAAAUACCAACAACAAAAACAGAGAAGAUUAUGCAGAAGACUUGCACCCUGUAGAAAUGAAUUCUGAGCAGCGUACUGACUUAUACGCGUUAAGGGAUUGUGAACCUGUAACUGGGCAGACCAACAAAAUUUUUUUUGAGAGGAAUAUUUUCUGGAAUAGCAAAGCAUGCUCAGGAUGGUUCCUCAUGCGUUCAUAAGUUUCAAUCUCACUAACACUUCCCUAAAUCGGAAACAUUUCAACCAUACCACUUCCUGUAUAUUCUCCACCAUCAUCAUCACCACCCCCACCAUCUGCAGCCCUCACCAUCCACGAUCCACCACCACCACCAGUCCUUCUCCUCAACCCAUCAGAAUCACCACCAACACCAGCUUCAAUUUGAUAAGCAUCAUUAGCUGUCCUUCAUUCCAGUUCACUCUGUCAUAUUUAAAUGUUCCAGUGACUUUCUUUCUCAUAGUGUUGCUGGUUACUAAAGUUUCAUUGACAACAAGCGCCUUCUACCAUUUCCAUAUGUUCCAGCUUUAGCUGACCAGUUUUACUUGGAUUUUUUUUUCCUAUUUUGGGUUGCCGUGGAGGGAUUGGAGUGUAGGGGUGAGACAGGGUGAUCAGUAAGAAGAGGUAUUCAUAAGAUUCCACGAAAAUCAGACAAGAAAAUCGAGCAUUAAUAGUAAAAUGAUUCGGCUUCAAUCUGUAGAAUAUCUCAAGACUUCUUGAAUCGAAAUUAAAGCACCUGCUCCACCUUAUCCCAAUUAUAUAAGGAACAGAAGAAGAACAAAUUUUAAUGAAAAAACGAAGUUGUAGUGUACAAGAUGAACAGGAUUCAACUAGUACUACUUAGAACUCUUCUUUGCCAUGUGUUUUAACUCACAAUUGAUCUUCUUAUAGACAUUCCUUAAGUGUACUGUGGGCUUCAAAUUAAUGAAGUUAAUUUGAUUAGAUUUAUCCCAAAGUUAGUAAACUUCUCGCAGUUCAAAUAGCCUCUUCAGCUUCAUCUGUUUUUAAUUAACUGCAAUUUGGCUUAAAAAUCAAGAAGUCUAGGAAUAGAUUUAUGCGGAGAUCUUCUCUUAUCAAAAUAAGAUCCUGCUGUAUGAUAUUUACUCUUUUUGCUGUUUUAGCAAGCUGUUAAAAUUAAAUGCUCAUCAACUAUCAUCUCCAUUUUCUCCAUCUCCAAACAGAAAAUUUAUAAACAAACUAGGAGAACUAGAGAGCAUCCCAUGUUCUUAGAUCCUAUUAUAUUAAACAUCCUGAAUAUGAUGCUUGAAAACUAUAAAUUCAACUGUUUGAAUUUAUCAUCAAUCAAAAAAUAAUACGACCCCAUUCUAUCAAAAUGACUAACCAAAUAGAUUAAUUACCAAAAAAUAAAAGGCAGAAGAGUUGCAACUUAUAGAAUUGCAUUCUGAGCAAAAUACUGACAUGUACAUAUGAUUCUUGGGAAUAUUUUCUGGAAUAGCAAAGCAUGCUGAGGCUGAUUGCUCCCAUGUUCUUAAGUUUCAACCUGAGGAAAACUUCCCUAAAUUGAAAAUAUUGACUUCAUCAAUUCCACUUCCCAUACAUGCUCUCAUCCCUUAUGUUUCCUUAACAUUUUUAUUAACCAUAUAAUUUCGACUAAAUGUGUCAAAGCAUUGUUAUCCAAUCUAAAACUUCAUAUUUAGAUCAACCUUUCGUGUUUCUCAAAACAUAUACAUUUGCUAUUGAUAUAAAUGGAAUAGAAAAUUUAGGCACUAAUUUAGGUCAAGCCAAAGCAUACAUGGAGAUCAUCGUGUGACCAUGCAGUCAUGACCUUUAUCUCUUCGGUUAAUUGACCAUCAUAUCUACUGGAAAUUGACAGUAUAGCGUCAAAUGUAUGUUUCUGCUAGCCAUAAUCUGCUCAGACAAGCUAUUAACUGCAAACUGAAAUUCCGCCUUUUCCACGCCUAGUCCUAUAUAGGUGCUAACUUCUUGGUUUUGCCCUCCAUGUCUUGUUACAGAACACUAUAAGUAAACUUAGUAAAGUCUCAGUUUGCUUAGCAUUUUAGGCCUCAUAAUAUCCAAAGAUUCAGGGAUAUAUGAUAUAUAUUAUGCAGACUAAGUCAGCAAUAUGAAACCACCACCUGGUUAUUAGUUUUUUCCAAGCAAGUUGCAUUUGUCAGCCUAUUACUAAUAUUCUGUAAGAAUAGAGCAAACCAGCAAAUUCCAAACAGCGGAUGCUAUGGUAAUAAGAUCUCAUCUCAUGUGGCUCAUACAGUUCAAAAUUAGCCAACUAACAUUAGUAGUAUGAGAUUUAGACCUCUUCACAUGAGAUGAAAUCCAAAAUAAAGUUCAUACAUCCAUAUUGUAGUAGGUCAGACUUACCUAUCUCCUUAGCAGUUGAGAUAGCAUAACUAGAAGAUGCAUCUUUUGUGUGGUCUUUAGGAUCUGAAAAAGGUGUUGAACAAAGAAAUGUUGAUCAAGUGGAUCUGGAGCAGGUUUCAUGAAUAUCUGCACCAAGAAAUGGUGGUAAUUCCUGCAGUCCUUGCUAUUGUUGCUGAGGCAACACUCCAGAAUUCU